This 253-nucleotide ribosomal RNA is filed under the name uncultured bacterium. RNAcentral's name for it is "partial 16S ribosomal RNA". It matches the Rfam family "Bacterial small subunit ribosomal RNA", at positions 524 to 776 of the family's 1533-position model. The record is from RNAcentral.
UACAGAGGGUGCAAGCGUUAAUCGGAAUUACUGGGCGUAAAGCGUGCGUAGUCGGUUAUCUAAGUCGGGUGUGAAAUCCCCGGGCUCAACCUGGGAAUUGCAUUCGAUACUGGAUAGCUAGAGUUCGGCAGAGGGAAGCGGAAUUUCGGGUGUAGCGGUGAAAUGCGCAGAUAUCAGGAGGAACACCAAUUGCGAAGGCAGCUCGCUGGGACGUUACUGACGCUGAGACGCGAAAGCGUGGGGAGCAAACAGG